ACUGGAACCUUCAGGGAGCUGAGCA
This 25-nucleotide non-coding RNA is filed under the name Cricetulus griseus (Chinese hamster). Lineage: Eukaryota; Metazoa; Chordata; Mammalia; Rodentia; Cricetidae. The record is from RNAcentral.